GUGAAUCAUCGAAUCUUUGAACGCAAAUUGCACUCUCUGGUAUUCCGGAGAGCAUGCCUGUCUGAGGGUCAGUUAAAUAAAAAUCGGUGACGUUGCUGCUUUUUGGGGUGACGCACCGGCUUUGGGUCGUCGUGCCUUCGGUUAAGUGAUCUGAAAUUCUGCAUGAUUUUCUCGGAGGUAUUUAAAUGAUUUUACGUACGGUUGCGAGAUCGG
RNAcentral lists this unclassified non-coding RNA (213 nucleotides) under Glomus sp. RNAcentral's name for it is "partial contains 5.8S ribosomal RNA and internal transcribed spacer 2". The stretch from base 1 to 71 matches the Rfam family "5.8S ribosomal RNA", at positions 84 to 154 of the family's 154-position model. The record is from RNAcentral. Lineage: Eukaryota; Fungi; Glomeromycota; Glomeromycetes; Glomerales; Glomeraceae.